Molecule: long non-coding RNA, 959 nt
Filed under: Anser brachyrhynchus (Pink-footed goose)
Lineage: Eukaryota; Metazoa; Chordata; Aves; Anseriformes; Anatidae
Description: lncRNA (ENSABRG00000004501.1)
Source: RNAcentral
CUGGAGCACACCGAGUUCUGGGAGGCACUGCAGGACUAGCCAUCAUGUAGGGAGCAAGUCUUCCUCAUGGGGUAAAGGAUGCCCUGUGUAACGGGGCUGCUGUCUCAACACAACAUAGGAAGUGUCUCCCUAAGAUGCCCCCUACAACCACCCAGCAGAUAUGAAGGCCACCCAGGGCAGGUAGCCUCCACGGAGUAAGGGCUGCACCAGCGAUAUGGUGGUCCUGCCUGGACCUUAGGUGCAGGUAUUUGAGUAUGCAUUUGGCCUGUGCUGUGAAGGCCCCAGAACCAACAAAGCCAAACUGCUACAAGCAAAGCUUCUGAAGAGCCCUGGGAUAGGAAAGGUUGGAGGAAAAUGAAUUGCCUACAAGAAAAUGUGUGAGGGAACACCAACGGCUCCCUAACACAGACAGGGAACCUAAUGCAGCUGUUCAGGUGCCAGCUGCUCACACCAGCUCCAGAGGCUCUUGCAGUCUUCUCCCCAUAUAACAGUGACACUGAAUAUGAGGAAAAGAUCCUUACUUCCAGAAAGCUGCUUCUCUGAAUUUCACCCGAGAGGACAGGAACAGGCAUCAUUCUCCAUGGGCAGAAGCAGCUGAAAGAGCACUUGGAUGAGCUUUGCAGCCCCAUGUGGGACUGUGCCUGGAGGAGGAACAAUAUUACUAAAAGCAAGUCUCAGGUGACACUGAUGAUCCUGCAAUGGAUUGACCACCUCUGGCCACGUGUGGACCAAAUGGAUCCUUACAACGCUAAUGAUACAAAAGUGAAAGAAAGCUGGUAUUUGUUCAGUUGUGUUGAGAAAGACCGUGAGAAGACCUGAAUGGCAUUGUGCACUAGAACGUUUGAGUUCUUUGGUUCCAUCAUACUGUGAAGAAAACAUCUUGUAUGUAGAACAAAUAGUCUUUAGAGCUAGCCAUAAAACAAAAUAAAAAAAUGCAUACUUCUUCUUUUUAAUUUUUA